CCUACGGGAGGCAGCAGUGAGGAAUAUUGGUCAAUGGACGAGAGUCUGAACCAGCCAAGUAGCGUGAAGGAUGACUGCCCUAUGGGUUGUAAACUUCUUUUAUAAAGGAAUAAAACGAGGCACGUGUGCCUUUUUGCAUGUACUUUAUGAAUAAGGAUCGGCUAACUCCGUGCCAGCAGCCGCGGUAAUACGGAGGAUCCGAGCGUUAUCCGGAUUUAUUUGGUUUAAAGGGAGCGUAGAUGGGUUGUUAAGUCAGUUGUGAAAGUUUGCGGCUCAACCGUAAAAUUGCAAUUGAUACUGGCAGUCUUGAGGACAGUUGAGGUAGGCGGAAUUCGUGGUGUAGCGGUGAAAUGCUUAGAUAUCACGAAGAACCCCGAUUGCGAAGGCAGCUUACUAAACUGUGACUGACAUUGAUGCUCGAAAGUGUGGGUAUCAAACAGGAUUAGAUACCCUGGUAGUC
This 460-nucleotide ribosomal RNA is filed under the name uncultured bacterium. RNAcentral's name for it is "partial 16S ribosomal RNA". It matches the Rfam family "Bacterial small subunit ribosomal RNA", at positions 338 to 795 of the family's 1533-position model. The record is from RNAcentral.